UACAGAGGGUGCGAGCGUUAAUCGGAAUUACUGGGCGUAAAGCGCGCGUAGGCGGCUUUGCAAGUCGGGUGUGAAAUCCCCAGGCCUAACCUGGGAACUGCACUCGAGACUGCAUGGCUAGAGUAUCGGAGAGGGAAGUGGAAUUUCAGGUGUAGCGGUGAAAUGCGUAGAUAUCUGAAGGAACAUCAGUGACGAAAGCGACUCCUGGACGAAUACUGACGCUCAUGUGCGAAAGCGUGGGGAGCAAACAGG
RNAcentral lists this ribosomal RNA (252 nucleotides) under uncultured bacterium. RNAcentral's name for it is "partial 16S ribosomal RNA". It matches the Rfam family "Bacterial small subunit ribosomal RNA", at positions 524 to 776 of the family's 1533-position model. The record is from RNAcentral.